This 275-nucleotide ribosomal RNA is filed under the name uncultured Blautia sp. Its description in RNAcentral is "partial 16S ribosomal RNA". It matches the Rfam family "Bacterial small subunit ribosomal RNA", at positions 65 to 339 of the family's 1533-position model. The record is from RNAcentral. Lineage: Bacteria; Bacillati; Bacillota; Clostridia; Lachnospirales; Lachnospiraceae.
AAUUUCUUCGGAAUGACGAUUUAGUGACUGAGUGGCGGACGGGUGAGUAACGCGUGGGUAACCUGCCUUAUACAGGGGGAUAACAGUUAGAAAUGACUGCUAAUACCGCAUAAGCGCACAGUUCCGCAUGGAACAGUGUGAAAAACUCCGGUGGUGUGAGAUGGACCCGCGUCUGAUUAGCCAGUUGGCGGGGUAACGGCCCACCAAGGCGACGAUCCAUAGCCGGCCUGAGAGGGUGAACGGCCACAUUGGGACUGAGACACGACCCAGACUCC